CACACCGCCCGUCACACCAUGGGAGUUGGUUUCACCCGAAGGCGCUGCGCUAACCCGCAAGGGAGGCAGGCGACCACGGUGGGAUCAGCGACUGGGUG
RNAcentral lists this ribosomal RNA (98 nucleotides) under uncultured bacterium. RNAcentral describes it as "partial 16S ribosomal RNA". It matches the Rfam family "Bacterial small subunit ribosomal RNA", at positions 1386 to 1482 of the family's 1533-position model. The record is from RNAcentral.